Molecule: unclassified non-coding RNA, 204 nt
Filed under: Hevea brasiliensis (rubber tree)
Lineage: Eukaryota; Viridiplantae; Streptophyta; Magnoliopsida; Malpighiales; Euphorbiaceae
Source: RNAcentral
CGUGUUGCUUUCAUUCAAUGGAUUGAGGAGGCGUUUUGAUGAAGAGUGUUUGGUUAAGGCCUCGUUUUGCUUCAUCACUCUUGGUCGCGUGUAUGAGCAGCGAAUUAUGGAGUGUGGGGUCCAUCCUAUAUAUAGUAGAAAUAAAAGGAGAAGCACAAAUGAAGAGCAUCAGGAUGACGAGCAACCCCAUCAGCAUCAGGAUGA